CCCAACAUAUCCCUCAGUCUCCUCUUCUCUCCUGAACUCUCGCUGCACCCGAAAACAAUAAAAUAAGUGCGAGGAAGCUGGCUUUCAUUUAUUCUUCAGGCAGAUGGGCGACUUGAAUCAUCGAUCCACAAGAACAAUUGAACAGGAAUCUCACCUUGGGAGAUGGCUGCUUUAUAAUUCUACAUUUCGCUGCCUAGGUAUCCGUGUUGUUAGAGGAAAGUACAAAAUUGCGGUUGAGUUUGACUAGCUUUGGCCCCAGUUAACAAACAAUCACUGCGAGAGAAAUGAAUGAAAGUUUCAGAGACUGAGCACUGUUGUGAGGACUGUACAGCUCAGACCAUACGCAAAUGGUAGUUUCAACAGCUAAUAUGAAACUGAAUCACGUAUCCAUUAUUCUUCAAUUCUUCAUAUUACUCCGAUACAGAAAUUCGCUUGGAAUUGUCAUUUCCCCAAAGCAAGAACAAAUUAUUUGUGAAUUAAAAAAAGAUACAUACCUGCA
This is a long non-coding RNA of Stegostoma tigrinum, 499 nucleotides long. RefSeq lists it as uncharacterized. The record is from RefSeq and is a predicted model, not a curated record. Lineage: Eukaryota; Metazoa; Chordata; Chondrichthyes; Orectolobiformes; Stegostomatidae. The transcript has 2 exons.